GGGGCCAAAGAAACCUUGAAGAAUGAAGGU
Molecule: non-coding RNA, 30 nt
Filed under: Mus musculus (house mouse)
Lineage: Eukaryota; Metazoa; Chordata; Mammalia; Rodentia; Muridae
Source: RNAcentral